This 389-nucleotide ribosomal RNA is filed under the name uncultured Chrysophyceae. RNAcentral's name for it is "partial small subunit ribosomal RNA". It matches the Rfam family "Eukaryotic small subunit ribosomal RNA", at positions 30 to 427 of the family's 1831-position model. The record is from RNAcentral. Lineage: Eukaryota; Chrysophyceae.
GCUUGUCUCAAAGAUUAAGCCAUGCAUGUCUAAGUAUAAACAAAUCUAUACUGUGAAACUGCGAAUGGCUCAUUAUAUCAGUUAUAGUUUAUUUGAUGGUUCUUGCUACUUGGAUAACCGUAGUAAUUCUAGAGCUAAUACAUGCAUCAAACCCCGACUCCUGGAAGGGGUGUAUUUAUUAGAUGGAAACCAAUGCGGGGCAACCCGGAUUCUGGUGAUUCAUAAUAACUUUCGGAUCGAUCCUCGGAUCGAUGCAUCAUUCAAGUUUCUGCCCUAUCAGCUUUGGAUGGUAGGGUAUUGGCCUACCAUGGCUUUAACGGGUAACGGAGAAUUAGGGUUCGAUUCCGGAGAGGGAGCCUGAGAAAUGGCUACCACAUCCAAGGAAGGCA